RNAcentral lists this long non-coding RNA (205 nucleotides) under Gossypium barbadense (sea-island cotton). RNAcentral describes it as "long non-coding RNA (GBAR_LNC022444)". The record is from RNAcentral. Lineage: Eukaryota; Viridiplantae; Streptophyta; Magnoliopsida; Malvales; Malvaceae.
CGAUCCCUCGUGCGCCGCUGGCCUAUACAUCGGCGGUCCACUUAGCGUAACAGGAAAUGGAGCUGAACCCUCCAACCUGCCAUAGGACUCGAAAAAGGAAACAGAUAAGGGUUAGGAUACAUAAAAGGGCUAGGAAACGCACCUGGCAUCAUCUGAAAAGGUUGUGCCAUGGGUAUCAUCAGUUGAACUGCUGGGUCGGGUGACA